GAUGAACGCUGGCGGCGUGCCUAACACAUGCAAGUCGAGCGCACGGACGAGAAGCUUGCUUCUCUGGUGUUGGCGGCGGACGGGAGAGUAACACGUGGAUAACCUACCUAUAAGACUGGGAUAACUUCGGGAAACAGGCGCUAAUACGGGAUAAUAUUUUGAAAAGCAUGGUUCAAGAGUGAAAUACGGUCUUUCUGUCGCUUAUAGCUGGAUCCGCGCUGCAUUAGCUAGUUGGUAAGGUAACGGCUUACCAAGGCAGCGAGGCAUAGCCGCCCUGAGAGGGAGGUUGGCUAGACGGGAAGUGAGAAAGGGCAGACACACCGGCGGGAGGACGCGGUAGGGACUCGUACGGAAUGGAGGAGAGCGUGACGGAGCACAGUCGCGGCAGUGAUGAAGUACCCAGGAUGGGUAAAUGCUGUUAGCAGUGGAGAACAUAUGUGUAAGUAGCUGUGAACAUAUUGACGGUACCUGAUCAAAAAGCCACGGCUAACUCCGUG
RNAcentral lists this ribosomal RNA (497 nucleotides) under uncultured bacterium. RNAcentral describes it as "partial 16S ribosomal RNA". It matches the Rfam family "Bacterial small subunit ribosomal RNA", at positions 28 to 507 of the family's 1533-position model. The record is from RNAcentral.